GACGAACGCUGGCGGCGUGCUUAACACAUGCAAGUCGAACGGAAAGGCCCUGCUUUUGUGGGGUGCUCGAGUGGCGAACGGGUGAGUAACACGUGAGUAACCUGCCCUUGACUUUGGGAUAACUUCAGGAAACUGGGGCUAAUACCGGAUAGGAGCUCCUGCUGCAUGGUGGGGGUUGGAAAGUUUCGGCGGUUGGGGAUGGACUCGCGGCUUAUCAGCUUGUUGGUGGGGUAGUGGCUUACCAAGGCUUUGACGGGUAGCCGGCCUGAGAGGGUGACCGGCCACAUUGGUACUGAGAUACGGCCCAGACUCCUACGGGAGGCAGCAGUGGGGAAUAUUGCACAAUGGGCGGAAGCCUGAUGCAGCAACGCCGCGUGCGGGAUGACGGCCUUCGGGUUGUAACCCGCUUUCGCCUGUGACGAAGCGUGAGUGACGGUAAUGGGUAAAGAAGCACCGGCUAACUACGUG
Molecule: ribosomal RNA, 468 nt
Filed under: uncultured bacterium
Lineage: Bacteria
Description: partial 16S ribosomal RNA
Rfam family: Bacterial small subunit ribosomal RNA
Source: RNAcentral